GGGGGGGGGGGACAUGGAGAAAGGCGGAAGUCAGCAACGAAAGGCAACGCUCGACAAACCCUUGAAAAAGAUGUUGAGAAAGUUGGUGAAGGAGCGGCUCAUGGCGGCAGCGGAUGAAAUACUGGCGCUGUUUGAAGGAACGAUGGCGUCGUACGAGGAGGAGCUUUGCCGAACGAGAGAAGAGAACGAGCGACACCGACAGCAACUGGAAGCCGCGAGCAAGACUCAAACUGUGCUCCACAUUGAAGAUGUCCGGCAGCUGAUUGGUCGUCAAGAAGAACGCCCCCCUCUGCCGCAGGGCGGGAGCUCCACUGUGAGGCAGCAGGAUCCCCGGCCCCCCCACGUUAAAGAGGAAGAGGAGGAACUCUGGAUCACUCAGACAGGAAAGUCGGAGGAGGCUGAUCUCACCGAGUUGCCACUGACUGUUGUCUCAGUGAAGGCCGAAGACCAUGACGAAGACCCACCCGAGUCCUCACAGCUUCAUCCUCGCCCAGGUGAGGAGAGCAGAGGGGCGCAGCCUCCGGGCAGCAGCUCCCCACAACACAUAAUAGAAGCUGAUGGGGACCACUGUGGGGGAUCACAAGCAGACAAGCUCUUAGCUCCACUGUCAGAUAGCGACGACACGACGUCACACUCUGCUGAGGAUGAAGACAGGGACCACACCCAAGAACUGCUGAGCAGCGAUGCAGACUGUGAAGGCGAUACGAGGAUUCACGCCGGCAGCAAACACUCUGAACGCUCUAAAAAGAAGACGGGUAAAAAGGCCGUGACCUGCUCAGUUUGUGGGGAAAGUUAUGCUUACUACUGUGAUUUUAUUCGACACAUACGGACGCACAAGGGAGAAAAACCUUUCAGUUGCUCAGUUUGUGGCGAAAGAUUCUCUCAGCAGUCCGUCCUGGUGUUGCACAUGAGGACACACACAGGACAAAAACAUUUCAAAUGCUCACUUUGUCGUGACAGCUUUUCCAAAAAGAGCAGCUUAAAUGUGCACAUGCGGUCGCACACGGGAGAAAAACCCUUCACUUGCUCUCUUUGUGCUAAAACAUUUAAGCAAAAGGCACAUAUGGAAUCACACCUGAGAACGCACACAGGAGAAAAACCCUUUAGCUGCUCACUUUGCAACGAGAGGUUUACCUGUAAGAGAAAUUUUACCCGACACAUGAGGACACACACGGGAGAAAAACCCUUUAUUUGUUCUGUUUGUUGCAAGAGAUUCUCUCAAAAGUCAAACAUGGUCUCACACAUGAGAACCCACACGGGCGAAAAGCCUUUCAGCUGCUCAGUUUGCGGCGAAAGUUUUAGUCAAAAGGUGUCUCUGAUUGCACACGAAACAGCACACACGGGAGAAAAAGCCUUCGAUUGCCCGGUUUGUGGUAAAAGUUAUUCUUAUAAGAAAAGUUUGACAGCACACAUGCGGACACACAAUGGUGAAUAAAGGUUUUCGUGUCAGGUGUAUGCUGAAAGAUGUCAGAUCACACAAGUGUAAUGUCAUGUGAGAAGUCUACUGUGUGCAUGCGAUAUCAGAAGAGUGUGAACGAUGUAAAAUGUGACAAAUGGUUCCUGUGAAACAACUUAUUUGGCUGUAUAUAAUGUAAACGUAAAUUACAUUUUACUCAUGUAAUGACAAACUUAAUUGUGACGUCUUUGCAGCUUUUCUUUCUUCCUCGGGUCUCAUCUUGAGCAGUGGUCAAUACCGCCACAAGAUGGCAGCAGCGUGACGCUCUCGCUGCCGUAAAACCUCCAUCAGAAAACGCAAAAGUCGGAAGUUAGCAACGUCGCUGCAGCGACGACGGUUAAUAAAGCGAGGCGGAAUCCGGUGAAAGCAUUUUUUUAAAUAAAAUUGAAAGACUUGGUGAAGGAGCGACUAAUGGCGGCAGCUGGUGAAAUAUCGGCGCUGCGAUAGCAACGUACAAGGAGGAACUUUCUCGGACAAGACAUCGGCAACAACCGGAAGCCGUUGACAAGACUCUAUGGCACAUUGAAGCCCAGGAAAGCGUUUGUGCGCAACUUCUGCUGGAACUCUUCCAGACCAGCGCUUAUGAGUGAGCGACGACCAGCUGAUUAGUCAUCAACCAGAACACCCCCCUCAGCUGCAGGUGGUGGGCUCCACUUUGAAGCAGGAGGAUCCCCAGGCCCCGUACGUUAAAGACGAAGAUGAGGAACUCUGGGCCACUCAGGAGAGAGAGUGUCUUCUCGGGCCACUGACUGGUGUGUCUGUGAAGACGGAAGACCGUGAAGACAAACCACAAGCAGACAACCUCGUAGCUCCGCUAUCAGAUAAUGACGACACAACCUCACACUCUCCUGAGGAUGAAGACAGGGUUGACACCCAAGAGACCCAAGAACGGCGACAGACUGUGAAGGCGACGACAGAAAAUGGAAAAAGACGACUGCUCAGAGCAACAAAGAGCAUUUGCAAACCUGCAAAAGACCUUAUACUUGCUCAGUUUGUGCUAAAAGUUUUUCUUGUAAGCUCAAUAUUGAAGU
Molecule: RNA transcript, 2487 nt
Organism: Dunckerocampus dactyliophorus (ringed pipefish)
Lineage: Eukaryota; Metazoa; Chordata; Actinopteri; Syngnathiformes; Syngnathidae
Gene name: gastrula zinc finger protein XlCGF57.1-like
Exons: 4
Source: RefSeq, a predicted model, not a curated record